CCUACGGGAGGCAGCAGUGGGGAAUAUUGGACAAUGGGGGGAACCCUGAUCCAGCGACGCCGCGUGAGUGAAGAAGUAUUUCGGUAUGUAAAGCUCUAUCAGCAGGGAAGAGAAUGACGGUACCUGACUAAGAAGCCCCGGCUAACUACGUGCCAGCAGCCGCGGUAAUACGUAGGGGGCGAGCGUUAUCCGGAUUUACGGGGUGUAAAGGGAGCGUAGACGGCUGGUCAAGUCUGAAGUGAAAGCCCGGGGCUUAACCCCGGAACGGCUUUGGAAACUGAGCAGCUAGGGUGCUGGAGAGGAAAGGGAAAUCCCUGUGUAGCGGUGAAAUGCGUAGAUAUUAGGAGGAACACCGGUGGCGAAGGCGGCUUACUGGACUGUAACUGACGUUGAGGCUCGAAAGCGUGGGGAGCAAACAGGAUUAGAUACCCGUGUAGUC
This 439-nucleotide ribosomal RNA is filed under the name uncultured bacterium. Its description in RNAcentral is "partial 16S ribosomal RNA". It matches the Rfam family "Bacterial small subunit ribosomal RNA", at positions 338 to 795 of the family's 1533-position model. The record is from RNAcentral.